RNAcentral lists this ribosomal RNA (518 nucleotides) under Lanistes nsendweensis. RNAcentral describes it as "partial large subunit ribosomal RNA". It matches the Rfam family "Bacterial large subunit ribosomal RNA", at positions 1817 to 2597 of the family's 2925-position model. The record is from RNAcentral. Lineage: Eukaryota; Metazoa; Mollusca; Gastropoda; Architaenioglossa; Ampullariidae.
GGCUCUUUGAAAAGAAUUAAUAAAGAGUCAAACCUGCCCAGUGACAUGUGGUUUAACGGCCGCGGUACUUUGACCGUGCAAAGGUAGCAUAAUCAAUUGUCUUAUAAUUAAAGACUGGUAUGAAAGGUUUAACGAGAAUUCAACUGGCUCCUAUUAGCUAAAAUGAACUUGACUUUUAAGUGCAAAGGCUUAAAUAAUAUUGAAAGACAAGAAGACCCUAUUGAGCUUAAAAUUUUUUAAUAGUGCGGGUAUUAUAGUGCCUAAAUUAUGAUCUAUUAAUCUUUUUUAGUUGGGGCGACUCUGGAACAAUUAAAGCUUCCUAGAUGUAAUAUGACUUAAUCCUAUUUGACGUGAUCCAGGAUAGUUCUGAUUACUAGAAGAAGUUACCAUAGGGAUAACAGCAUAAUCCUCUUUGAGAGUUCUAAUCGAAAAGAGGGUUUGUGACCUCGAUGUUGGACUAGAAUAUCCUAAGGGUGCAGAAGUUCUUGAGGGUUGGUCUGUUCGACCAUUAAAAUUCU